Molecule: small RNA, 175 nt
Filed under: Arabidopsis lyrata subsp. lyrata
Lineage: Eukaryota; Viridiplantae; Streptophyta; Magnoliopsida; Brassicales; Brassicaceae
Description: Early nodulin 40
Rfam family: Early nodulin 40
Source: Rfam by way of RNAcentral
AUGCAGACAAAGCCAUUCAAGGAAAGAGAGAGAGGAACCUCAUUUUGGAAAAUCUCCCCAACAGUUUGUUUAGCUUGGCCAUGAGAAGAGAGGAGGAGACAAAUAAACUUGGGUUUAUGGUAAUGGCAAAACGGCAAGUCAUAUAUCGGCAUCAGGCUCGUAUUUUUCGAGUUCU